GAGUUUGAUUCUGGCUCAGGAUGAACGCUGGCGGCGUGCUUAACACAUGCAAGUCGAACGAAGCGAGAAGAAAGAAGUUUUUCGAAAUGGAUUUUUUCUUUGCUUAGUGGCGGACGGGUGCGUAACACGUAGGUAACCUGCCCUGUGCUUCGGAAUAACUCCGGGAAACCGGUGCUAAUGCCGAAUAAUAUCGCCUGUCGGCAUCGAGAGGCGAUCAAAGAAUUUUGGCACAGGAUGGGCCUGCGCCGGAUUAGCUGGUUGGUGAGGUAACGGCUCACCAAGGCGACGAUCCGUAGCCGACCUGAGAGGGUGAUCGGCCACACUGGAACUGAGACACGGUCCAGACUCCUACGGGAGGCAGCAGUGGGGAAUAUUGCACAAUGGGGGAAACCCUGAUGCAGCAACCGCAAGCGUGAGCGAUGAAGGCUUUCGAGUCGUAAAGCUCUGUCCUAUGGGAAGAUGAUGACCGUACNUAGAG
RNAcentral lists this ribosomal RNA (478 nucleotides) under Peptostreptococcaceae bacterium canine oral taxon 071. Its description in RNAcentral is "bacterial SSU rRNA". It matches the Rfam family "Bacterial small subunit ribosomal RNA", at positions 9 to 465 of the family's 1533-position model. The record is from RNAcentral. Lineage: Bacteria; Bacillati; Bacillota; Clostridia; Peptostreptococcales; Peptostreptococcaceae.